RNAcentral lists this ribosomal RNA (253 nucleotides) under uncultured bacterium. RNAcentral's name for it is "partial 16S ribosomal RNA". It matches the Rfam family "Bacterial small subunit ribosomal RNA", at positions 524 to 776 of the family's 1533-position model. The record is from RNAcentral.
UACGGAGGGGGCUAGCGUUGUUCGGAAUUACUGGGCGUAAAGCGCACGUAGGCGGCUUUGUAAGUUAGAGGUGAAAGCCUGGAGCUCAACUCCAGAAUUGCCUUUAAAACUGCAUCGCUUGAAUCCAGGAGAGGUGAGUGGAAUUCCGAGUGUAGAGGUGAAAUGCGUAGAUAUCCGGAAGAACACCAGUGGCGAAGGCGGCUUGCUGGGCUGGUAUUGACGCUGAGGUGCGAAAGCGUGGGGAGCAAACAGG